UUUGACAGACACAACACAUGAAAGAAAACCUCAUCAGGGACUUCCAUAACAUUCACAGCCUGUCACACUGGUGUGCUCCUGCACUGCAUUUUGGGAGAAACUUGAUGAAAGAUGAGCUGCCAAGUGACAAACAUAAGGUUCCAGGUCAACAGAUGCGUGGCAGAACGCGGCCGGAUGCCAGCAGAUCACGUGCGUUUUCACAGCACACCGACUAACACUGCGCUGUUUCGUGAGUAUACAUCACUCACGCAAAUAUUUUCACAUUUUCAGAGGCUGAAGUCACCUCAUUGAAAUGCUUCAAGAGCCUCUGCCAGUUCUCCUUUGUCAAACAGGAGCAGCACCGACAGGAAACAGGUUGGCUUAGAGAGCAGACGGAGUUUGGAAUCGGCACCCUGACUGGAGCAGAAAAUGCAAGAAAAAUAGAGCGACUAAAGGAAGUCAAAAGAAGAAUGGAGCAGGAGAUGAACACAGGCACUGGAGGGCAGAGAAGGAGCAAUGAAACAAUAAAAAUGCAGAUGAAAGUGGAGAAAAACACCCUCUAAAAAGUUUUCCAGAACACCACUUUACCCGACCUGCUGAUGACAAUUGUCUCUCAGCAUCUCAACACACACACACACACACACACGCGCACACACACACACGCGCACACACACACGCGCGCGCACAAGCAGGGUGGAGCCAUGUGUCAAGAAUGUCAUGGAUUGCGUGUUAAUAAUGAAGGUGAGUGUCCCUGGUGAGUGUAAUGGGAGUCCCGCAGGGUCCAACUGAGUUUUAAGGAGCCACAUUGUGAGGAAACUCGAUUGCAGUUUUGUUUUCAAGCUUCUUUUUGAAUUAGCACAGUGCAGGACUAAUAGCCGACUACCCGCUCAUCAAGGCACGGCAAAUGGUGACAAGAUAAACAAAGUUAGAUUGAUUUUUUUUUUUUUUGUGAGGACGGGGGUUGGGGGUUGCCAAGUGUGCAAAAUCCCCCCAACCUCACAAGUUGGGUCAAAUUGAGCCAAGUUGCAGAUCAGUCCAUUUUACCCCCAACUUGGGUUAUUUUUGAGCCACUUGUUUUCGGCACAUUAAGAUUGUUUCUAAAUCUUUGUUAGAUUGCAGAAGAUUUAACUAGAUUAAAUGAGAAUCAAUUGAUUUGAUUUUGUGCGUGCUACUGGAUUCAUUUUGUGAGAGCGGAGAGAGGAAUUUCUUCAGAGGAAGAAAAAGGUCACAGAAAUGGAAGUGUUUAGGUGAGCUAAGCACCUGCUUCAACUUGCGUUAACAAACCGGGUGGAGCAUUUCCCGCUGAGAAUAUCAGCAUUGACCACACCAAAACUGUCGAGCUCAGCAGGUGAGUCAUAAGCAGAUUUGACCAGUUUUGUUUUGUUUUGUUUUGUUUUUGCAGGGGCAAGGCUGGAGGUUAAUAUGGUGGCGCUGGUUCGUUGUAAUAGUGUUGGAUCCACUUCUCACUAAAUGCGAAGAGAAACCGAUUGCUUCUUCUUUUUACAUAAACACCAUUUUUUUUUUGAUUGAGUUCAGUGGACAAUGUGCGACUCCAUCUGAUGCAACAGUAUGCUACAGACAUAUGGAAAUACAUAAAGCUAAUUACAGCGCCUCGGUAAACCGCAGUAAUCUUUUCUCCCAAGUGAUAAAGA
This is a long non-coding RNA of Hippocampus zosterae (dwarf seahorse), 1631 nucleotides long. RefSeq lists it as uncharacterized. The record is from RefSeq and is a predicted model, not a curated record. Lineage: Eukaryota; Metazoa; Chordata; Actinopteri; Syngnathiformes; Syngnathidae. The transcript has 3 exons.